This 2030-nucleotide non-coding RNA is filed under the name Pongo abelii (Sumatran orangutan). The record is from RNAcentral. Lineage: Eukaryota; Metazoa; Chordata; Mammalia; Primates; Hominidae.
AAAGGGGCUACAAGGGAUCCAUGGAAAGAGCAUUCCCAGAAGGGGGGCCAGGGCAGUGCGCACAGUGAGGAGAGCAGCUGUGUGCAAGGUUGAAACAAAACGUUCAAAGCCCCCUUGGAAGCCCAUUCACAGGUGUGUGACUGUGAACCACAUCGUAAUCUCCUAGAAAGCAAGAACAUCAGGCUUACAUUUUUCACUUGCCUCUCAGGGCUCAGUGCUCUGCAGUAUAUACAUUGAGGAAACUGGGCCCUGACACAUUAACUUGCCCAAAAGAUCACAGUGGGCAACAUUCUAGAGCACAAACAAUGGAAGCUGACAGCAAUGUCAGCAAAGAUGGAAAACAGAACGUGGAGAGAGAUGUAGCUUACUAGAGCCCUGUGGCUUCAGUCCCCACCAGGAAUGUCGUUUAAGAGGAAGAGAAGCAGCCUCGGGGAGGGGGCGGGGCUGGGGAAUCCCUGGCCUCUCUCCUUUCCUUCUGGCUGAUCUUCUGCCAGAGACCUGCAACAGGAAGCUGGGGGCCAGGAAGCCUGUGGAUGCCCUGAAGAAGAAUGAGUGAUCUGAAAGGGCAGUAGAACAGUACUAGAAUCCAGUGCAAAGGCCCUGGGGCAGGAGUUCACAUGAGAAGUGGGUAGAAGGAACCAGCCUAUGAUCCAGGAACACAGUGAACAAGAUUUGGAAAGCUGACAGAGAAUAUGAGGCCUCCUCUCCAAACAGAAACUCCAGGAGGCUUGGUUGAUUCACUGACACAUGCACAGUGCUGAGCACAGUACCAGACACCAGAGUCUGUGUUCCAGAAAUGGAAGAAUAGGUGAGUAAUGAAAGGCUAAGUAAGCAAAUUCUUUGCAAAUGGGGAAAAGAUUGAAUGUAUAGGACUGCACAUAUCAGAAGCCCCCUGGAAUCUCUGCAUCCAGAAGAUUGCAGUCACCUUCGAAGCACUCACCACCAGAGGCUACUCGCACACUCUCCUGUGGCAGCCGUUCACCUCGGCCCUUUUCCUAGGGAUUUGACUUCAAGUCCCAGAAUGGGCCUCAGGGUCUUUGCAUUUGCCUUUCUAUGAGUCUGGAACACCACCCACCCCCUCACCUGUGGGCAGGCAAAGCACCUCCUGUGUUCAUGUCAUCUCCUGUACCAAGCCCUUCCUGAUGACCAACUUGGAGCCGGGUGCCCUCUAUCCAUGCCUCCAUGGCCCCCUAUGAUAAUGUCCCCCAUAUCACUUAUCAUUCUGCUCGUGAAUUUGGCUUCAUUAAUCUUGCAACAACCCCAGAGUAUUAGGCCACCACCUCUCAUGCCCGACAGAGUCCAUGGCAGAAGGUGGGCUCUCAGAUUUUAGCUGCGCUCCUGAAUGAAAGAAUCAAUAAAAGCCACACAGCAUUAAGUGGCAGACUCUAGUAAUUUAAUUCCUGGUCCCGGGCUCUUUGAUAUAAAAUAACUCUUCUAUUUUUAAUACACCCCACAUUCCUGAAGAUGACACUACUGCAAAAUUAAAGAAAUGUGAUGAACAGCUUACAACCUGCAACACACUCGGCAGCUCAAAAUGACAACAUUAAUUUAAUGAACUUAAACACUGGUGAACUUUUUAACACAUCCGGAGUUAUUUACACUGGGAAAUGCAUACUUAAGAUUGCCUGCCAAAGAGACUCAAAUAGAGAUGACACAUAUAUCUUUCACAUGUUAAUCUGCAUUUUAAACUUUGAGCUUUGAUACAAGUUGGCUUUUCUCUUUUGGAAUGAAGAAAUCAAGAGACUACUUUUUUACCCAUCCAUCCAUCCAUCUAUCCAUCUAUCCAUCCAUCCAGCCACAUCUUUCCUAAGUGACAGGAUAUAUCACACACUAACUGUGUGCACAGCACUCUACCUAAAGAUCAGCGCUAACAGAGGAAUAAGCAGAGGCCUCCAGGAGCAAAGAGUGAAGAGUCUGGCAAGGCUUCAAGUACAGGGGUAAGUGGAUGGAGCUUUCACUGUAGAAUCUUUCCUGGAGAAAAAGCAAACAGUGGGGCAACAAUAAAGGCAUUAAAAAUAACUGUCAAGUUG